Molecule: ribosomal RNA, 559 nt
Filed under: uncultured bacterium
Lineage: Bacteria
Description: bacterial SSU rRNA
Rfam family: Bacterial small subunit ribosomal RNA
Source: RNAcentral
CCUACGGGAGGCAGCAGUGGGGAAUCUUGCACAAUGGAGGAAACUCUGAUGCAGCGAUGCCGCGUGAGUGAAGAAGGCCUUUGGGUUGUAAAGCUCUUUCGUCGGGGAAGAAAAUGACUGUACCCGAAUAAGAAGGUCCGGCUAACUUCGUGCCAGCAGCCGCGGUAAUACGAAGGGACCUAGCGUAGUUCGGAAUUACUGGGCUUAAAGAGUUCGUAGGUGGUUGAAAAAGUUGGUGGUGAAAUCCCAGAGCUUAACUCUGGAACUGCCAUCAAAACUUUUCAGCUAGAGUUUGAUAGAGGAAAGCAGAAUUUCUAGUGUAGAGGUGAAAUUCGUAGAUAUUAGAAAGAAUACCAAUUGCGAAGGCAGCUUUCUGGAUCAUUACUGACACUGAGGAACGAAAGCAUGGGUAGCGAAGAGGAUUAGAUACCCUCGUAGUCCAUGCCGUAAACGAUGUGUGUUAGACGUUGGAAAUUUAUUUUCAGUGUCGCAGCGAAAGCGAUAAACACACCGCCUGGGGAGUACGACCGCAAGGUUAAAACUCAAAUGAAUUGACGGA